RNAcentral lists this ribosomal RNA (412 nucleotides) under uncultured bacterium. RNAcentral's name for it is "bacterial SSU rRNA". It matches the Rfam family "Bacterial small subunit ribosomal RNA", at positions 484 to 898 of the family's 1533-position model. The record is from RNAcentral.
GAACAAGCACCGGUUAACUCCGUGCCAGCAGCCGCGGUAAUACUUAGGGUGCAAGCGUUAAUCGGAAUUACUGGGCGUAAAGGGCGCGUAAGCGGCUUGAUAAAAUCAGAUGUGAAAGCCCCGGGCUCAACCUGGGAAUUGCAUUUGAAACUGGCGAACUAGAGUGUGGUAAAGGGAAAUGGAAUUUCUUGUGUAGCAGUGAAAUGCGUAAAUAUUGGAAGGAACAUCAAUGGCGAAGGCGACUUCCUGGACCAAUACUGACACUCAGGUGCGAAAGCCUGGGGAGCAAACAGGAUUAAAUACCCUGGUAGUCCACGCCGUAAACGAUGUCAACUAGUCGUUGGGGAAAUUUGACUUCUUUAUGGCUAACGCGUUAAAUAUACCCCCUGGGGAGUACGGUCGCAAGGUUAAA